ACGAACGCUGGCGGCGUGCUUAACACAUGCAAGUCGAACGGAAAGGCUCCAGCUUGCUGGAGUACUCGAGUGGCGAACGGGUGAGUAACACGUGGGUAAUCUGCCCUGCACUCUGGGAUAAGCCUGGGAAACUGGGUCUAGUACUGGAUAUGACCUUUCUCCUUAUGGGGUUUGGUGGAAAGUUUUUCGGUGUAGGAUGAGCCCGCGGCCUAUCAGCUUGUUGGUGGGGUGAUGGCCUACCAAGGCGACGACGGGUAGCCGGCCUGAGAGGGUGAUCGGCCACAUUGGGACUGAGAUACGGCCCAGACUCCUACGGGAGGCAGCAGUGGGGAAUAUUGCACAAUGGGCGGAAGCCUGAUGCAGCGACGCCGCGUGAGGGAUGACGGCCUUCGGGUUGUAAACCUCUUUCAGCAGGGACGAAGCGUAAGUGACGGUACCUGCAGAAGAAGCACCGGCUAACUAUGUG
RNAcentral lists this ribosomal RNA (466 nucleotides) under uncultured bacterium. RNAcentral's name for it is "partial 16S ribosomal RNA". It matches the Rfam family "Bacterial small subunit ribosomal RNA", at positions 29 to 507 of the family's 1533-position model. The record is from RNAcentral.